Molecule: non-coding RNA, 86 nt
Organism: Spinacia oleracea (spinach)
Lineage: Eukaryota; Viridiplantae; Streptophyta; Magnoliopsida; Caryophyllales; Amaranthaceae
Source: Rfam
GCCUCUAAUGAUGAUUAAAACAAUACUUUCGUUCUUCCGAGAUAUUCUCAUGCGGAAAAACUAUUGGAGACCUGAACUGAAGAGGC